This 948-nucleotide ribosomal RNA is filed under the name Callosa baiseensis. RNAcentral's name for it is "bacterial SSU rRNA". It matches the Rfam family "Eukaryotic small subunit ribosomal RNA", at positions 81 to 1022 of the family's 1831-position model. Lineage: Eukaryota; Metazoa; Arthropoda; Arachnida; Araneae; Linyphiidae. The record is from RNAcentral.
GCGAAACCGCGAAUGGCUCAUUAAAUCAGUUACGGUUCCUCGGAUCGUACACCGCUACUUGGACAACCGUGGCAAUCCUAGAGCUAAUACAUGCAUCAGAGCUCCGACCCCCACGGGAACGAGCGCUUUUAUUAGACCAAAACCGACCGGGCCUCGCGCCCGUCGAACGUGGUGACUCUGUAUAACUUUCGUUCCGAUCGCACGGGCUCGCCCCGGCGACGCAUCUCUCGAGUGUCUGCCUUAUCAACUGUCGAUGGUAGGCCACACGCCUACCAUGGUUGUAACGGGUGACGGGGAAUCAGGGUUCGAUUCCGGAGAGGGAGCCUGAGAAACGGCUACCACAUCCAAGGAAGGCAGCAGGCGCGCAAAUUACCCACUCCCGGCACGGGGAGGUAGUGACGAAAAAUAACGAUACGGGACUCUUUUGAGACCCCGUGAUUGGAAUGAGGACACUACAAAUCCUUUACCGACUAUCCAUCGGAGGGCAAGCCAAGUGCCAGCAGCCGCGGUAACUCUUGCUCCGAUAGCGUAUAUUAAAGUUGUUGCGGUUAAAAAGCUCGUAGUUGGAUCUGAGUCUUGGACGGGCGGACCGCCCAUCCGGCGGCCGCCGCCCCGGCCGGACAGGCAGGCCGGUUUCCCCUGGUGAUCUUCACCGGUUGUCUCGGGUGACCGGCGAUUUUACUUUGAAGAAAUUGGAGUGCUCAGAGCAGGCGAGGCGCCUGUAUAAUGGUGCAUGGAAUAAUGGAAUAGGACCCCGGUCCUGUUUUGUUGGUUUUCGGGACUCGAGGUGAUGACUAAGAGGGACAGACGGGGGCAUUCGUAUUGCGGCGCUAGAGGUGAAAUUCUUGGACCGUCGCAGGACGAACGACUGCGAAAGCAUUUGCCAAGAAUGUUUCCAUUAAUCAAGAACGAAAGUUAGAGGUUCGAAUGCGAUCAGAUACCGCCCUA